UUCUUUUGGUGUAACCUAUUUUCUUUCCAAUUUUACCCUUCAUUUAUUGCAAAAAUUUCAAAAAAAAAAUAUAUUUAAAGGGUGGAAGUUGAAGUCGGUUAUAUCAUUUCAAAAAGAAAAUAUAACUACUCUUUGAAAUUAAAACACAAAAACAAAAGAAAGGAAAAUCCAAGAACCCAACAUAUAUAGAACAAAUUGGUUAAACAUAUUACAUUUUUUUUAUAAUGUUUUUGUGUGUUUUCAAUUCCAUGGCACAUAUGUUCCGUUAUCAAUUAUUUGAUAGGGCUGGAAUCAAGGCAUUUGGAUUACAUAGAUCAACUUAAUUUUGGAGUCUUGCUGAAAUUUAAUUUCCAUUUGGUGAAUUGCAAUGAUAUUGCAUCAUAUCGAUAUAUGUAACGGUUUAGAGUAAACAAAAUUCUAUUAUAUGACUUAUAAUGCACAUUGUAUGGAUUGAAAUUGUUUGUAUUCUUUAUUGUUUUUAUUUCAUCAUGUCUUUUCUUUUGAAAAAACUUUUCUUUUGAAAAAAGAAAGAUGAACAUGUGUUAACUGCUUUUCAACCAUGCAUGUUGUGGUGUUUGUACAAAUGAAAUGAAAAACUUUUGAUGAAAGCAAAUAAGUUAACGUCUGAAAAAUUUCGGAUGCAUGAAAAUUGUAGUGGAUUUUUAUGUGUUGUUGAUGGUAGAGAGUGCAAGUCAUUAUGCCAAUUGUGGGUUCAAUGGUGAAGAAACUUAAUCUCACAUAUGCCACCCGAGAGAUGGUCUAGAAAAGGAAAUGUGAGAACCCUUUAAAGGUUUGUUGUCUCAAUUUUUCAUCUACUAUAUUUUAAAUAUUUGAAUUGACUUUGAAGCAUAAUAGUGUAAAUUGCUUCUUCUGUUUUCCAUUUAAUAGGGUGUAGGAUAUCCAUUAUUCUCAAUUUUGAAAGAACUAUUUGGCAUCUAUUGAUUUCUUAAAUUAAAUCUCACGUCAUUUUGAUAGCCCAAUAAAUAAUACCAAGGUAUGAUAAAUUAUAUAUGCAUGUCAUGAUAUAAAUUCUCCUUCCGGAAAAAAAAAAUGAUAUUAAUUCUCCUAAUGCUUUUUUUUUUCAAUAUGGUGAAUCACUCUUAAAAUAUUUGUUAACUCAGUAUUGUUUUAUUUAAUUUUUAUUUGUAUGUGUUUUAUUUAGGUUGAAAAGAUUAUAACUUAACUCUAUUCUUCACCAUGACUAUUGAUGGUUACUAAAUUGCUUUUGCCAUUGUGUCAUAAUUAAAGAAUAUCGUGUUUUUAUACAUAAAGGUUAGAUUCUAUACUUCACCUUUGAUGUGUUCAAAUUCGGAGUAUUUUCACUCAAUAAUUAAAAAAUUUGACAUCCUUUUUAUUAUUCGAAUCUUAUCAUUUCAUUGUUAAAAAAUUGUUAUAUAAGAAAAUGAUAUUGGAAGUUAAUUAAUCAUUAAAUAGAUAUAUAUUAUUAGUGUUGUUUUAAUUUUUCUUUCUCUGAUGAUUUUUUUUUCCAUUUAUAAUUUGAUAUGGAAGAUGUGCAGAUUAGUGCAAGGAGAAUACGGAUAUGGUGGCACUACAUAUAUGUUUGUUAUUGGAGGGGAAUAUUAAAAAAUAACAUAUUUUGUUUCAUGUCUCUUCCUCUCCCAGCCUUUUUGGUUUUAUUCAAAAGGUUGGAAAGAUUGUGCUACAAUAUCAAAAUAGAGUGAUAUUAUU
RNAcentral lists this long non-coding RNA (1689 nucleotides) under Trifolium pratense (red clover). Its description in RNAcentral is "long non-coding RNA (TPRA_LNC002058)". The record is from RNAcentral. Lineage: Eukaryota; Viridiplantae; Streptophyta; Magnoliopsida; Fabales; Fabaceae.